UGACCAACUCACGCUCCGCGUGGUCUUGGGGUCCGCUGCCUCGGCGGCCCCUAAACGCAGUGGCGGUGCCGUGCGGCUCUCAGCGUAGUAAUACUCCUCGCUUCAGGGUCCGGACGGUGCUGGCCAGCAACCCCAACUUCUUUA
Molecule: unclassified non-coding RNA, 144 nt
Filed under: Filosporella exilis
Lineage: Eukaryota; Fungi; Ascomycota; Leotiomycetes; Helotiales
Description: partial internal transcribed spacer 2
Source: RNAcentral